Molecule: ribosomal RNA, 402 nt
Filed under: Salmonella enterica subsp. enterica serovar Kentucky
Lineage: Bacteria; Pseudomonadati; Pseudomonadota; Gammaproteobacteria; Enterobacterales; Enterobacteriaceae
Also listed under: 1 other name
Description: bacterial SSU rRNA
Rfam family: Bacterial small subunit ribosomal RNA
Source: RNAcentral
UUAAAUUGAAGAGUUUGAUCAUGGCUCAGAUUGAACGCUGGCGGCAGGCCUAACACAUGCAAGUCGAACGGUAACAGGAAGCAGCUUGCUGCUUUGCUGACGAGUGGCGGACGGGUGAGUAAUGUCUGGGAAACUGCCUGAUGGAGGGGGAUAACUACUGGAAACGGUGGCUAAUACCGCAUAACGUCGCAAGACCAAAGAGGGGGACCUUCGGGCCUCUUGCCAUCAGAUGUGCCCAGAUGGGAUUAGCUUGUUGGUGAGGUAACGGCUCACCAAGGCGACGAUCCCUAGCUGGUCUGAGAGGAUGACCAGCCACACUGGAACUGAGACACGGUCCAGACUCCUACGGGAGGCAGCAGUGGGGAAUAUUGCACAAUGGGCGCAAGCCUGAUGCAGCCAUGC